This is a long non-coding RNA of Helianthus annuus (common sunflower), 1027 nucleotides long. RefSeq lists it as uncharacterized. NCBI's taxonomy places the organism in Eukaryota, Viridiplantae, Streptophyta, Magnoliopsida, Asterales, Asteraceae. The record is from RefSeq and is a predicted model, not a curated record. The transcript has 6 exons.
AUUUGGAAAUUGGUUAGGGGAGACCCAUGCCACUUGACUGGGAAAGGAUGUUGGAGGUGCAUUCGGUCCGCCCCUAAGAGCUGGAGAGACUUCAUGGUGAUUUGAACUUUUGGUUGGGUUGCAUAUGAUUCUUUUAUGCAGCAUGAUGUUCAAGAACUCAAUAGGAUUCUUUGUGAGAAAUUUGAAGAUAAAAUAAAGGGAACUCUUUUAGAAGGCCCAAUUCAACAAUUAUUUGAAGGGUUGUACAUUACCAUGGAAUUGAGGCGAUUGGCUGAUGGAUAUAGUGAAGCAAAAAUUGAAAUUACGGACUGGCAUGAUGUAUAAAGGUAUGUGAAACUGAAAAAAUGUGCGAGCCAAUCCACAGACGGAGAAAUUGCUGUUGGUGCGAUUCCAAAGUGGCCAGAACGACUAAAACAAGCUCCAUCACGGACCGCAUUGAUUAAAACGGAAAUGACGUGUUUGAUGCCGCCACACGCCAUUGGGAAAGAAGGAUUUUUCAAUAUAAGAAUUCAUUAAACUUAAAACUGUGGACUCCAGCGGUAAGAAAUGUGAUGGAUAUGAAUGCGUUUUUUGGUCGUUUUGCUGCUGCUUUAGCAUCCGAUCCGUUGUGGGUGAUGAAUGUUUUUGCAGACCGCAAGCCUUCAACUUUGGGUGUCAUUUAUGAUAGGGCUUAUUGGUGUUUAUCAUGAUUGGUGUGAACCUUUCUCAAGUUAUCCUCGAACUUAUGAUUUCAUUCAUGUGGUUGCAACUGAAUCCCUCAUAAAGGAUCCAGCACCCGACAAAAACAGGUGAUGGAAUAAUCUUACUUCCCUAUGACUGCUUUUAAUGCAAAUUGCUUUCAAAACGUACUACCUACUGAAGCACCUCUCAAGAAUGUUCAAGACAUCUUAGAAGAACAUGUUAUUGAUGUUGAUGCUCAUGAUAAUUCAGAUGAAGAAGAUGAUUUAGACAAUCGCUUGAUUAAUGAGGAGCGUGUCUACGACAUAACCAAUCUUGGAAUCGAGUGUAAUAAUCAAACUGUACACAG